AUGGACUGGACCUGGAGGAUCCUCCUCUUGGUGGCAGCAGCUACAGGUGCCCACUCCCAGGUGCAGCUGGUGCAGUCUGGGGCUGAGGUGAAGAAGCCUGGAUCCUCAGUGAAGGUCUCCUGCAAGGCUUCCGGAUACAUCUUCACUGACUACUACAUGCACUGGGUGCGACAGGCCCCUGGACAAGGGCUUGAGUGGAUGGGAGAAAUCAACCCAAAAACUGGUGGCACAAACUAUGCACAGAAGUUCCAGGGCAGAGUCACCACGACCAGAGACACAUCGACGAGCACAGCCUACAUGGAGCUGAGCAGCCUGAGAUCUGAGGACACGGCCGUGUAUUACUGUGAGAGAGACACAGUGUGAAAACUACAUCCUGAGAGUGUCA
Molecule: non-coding RNA, 385 nt
Organism: Macaca mulatta (Rhesus monkey)
Lineage: Eukaryota; Metazoa; Chordata; Mammalia; Primates; Cercopithecidae
Source: the annotation of a RefSeq genome assembly